CGACCGGCGCACGGGUGCGUAACGCGUAUGCAACCUACCUUUAACAGGGGGAGUAACACUGAGAAAUUGGUACUAAUACCCCAUAAUAUCAUAGAAGGCAUCUUUUAUGGUUGAAAAUUCCGAUGGUUAGAGAUGGGCAUGCGUUGUAUUAGCUAAUUGGUGGGGUAACGGCUCACCAAGGCGACGAUACAUAGGGGGACUGAGAGGUUAACCCCCCACACUGGUACUGAGACACGGACCAG
Molecule: ribosomal RNA, 242 nt
Filed under: uncultured bacterium
Lineage: Bacteria
Description: partial 16S ribosomal RNA
Rfam family: Bacterial small subunit ribosomal RNA
Source: RNAcentral